Molecule: ribosomal RNA, 465 nt
Filed under: uncultured Streptococcus sp.
Lineage: Bacteria; Bacillati; Bacillota; Bacilli; Lactobacillales; Streptococcaceae
Description: bacterial SSU rRNA
Rfam family: Bacterial small subunit ribosomal RNA
Source: RNAcentral
CCUACGGGAGGCUGCAGUAGGGAAUCUUCGGCAAUGGGGGGAACCCUGACCGAGCAACGCCGCGUGAGUGAAGAAGGUUUUCGGAUCGUAAAGCUCUGUUGUAAGAGAAGAACGGGUGUGAGAGUGGAAAGUUCACAAUGUGACGGUAUCUUACCAGAAAGGGACGGCUAAAUACGUGCCAGCAGCCGCGGUAAUACGUAGGUCCCGAGCGUUGUCCGGAUUUAUUGGGCGUAAAGCGAGCGCAGGCGGUUAGAUAAGUCUGAUGGUAAAGGCUGUGGCUCAACCAUAGUUCGCUUUGGAAACUGUCAAACUUGAGUGCAGAAGGGGAGAGUGGAAUUCCAUGUGUAGCGGUGAAAUGCGUAGAUAUAUGGAGGAACACCGGUGGCGAAAGCGGCUCUCUGGUCUGUAACUGACGCUGAGGCUCGAAAGCGUGGGGAGCGAACAGGAUUAGAUACCCCUGUAGUC